Long non-coding RNA from Vigna radiata var. radiata (mung bean), 626 nucleotides. RefSeq lists it as uncharacterized. The record is from RefSeq and is a predicted model, not a curated record. Lineage: Eukaryota; Viridiplantae; Streptophyta; Magnoliopsida; Fabales; Fabaceae. The transcript is spliced from 2 exons.
UAUUUUCUUUAUUCCAAAAAUACCCUACACCUUAACAAUCUUCCUUUUUUCUUUAAAAAAAAUAAAUAAACAAUACCUGUUUCAUCUUACUUAAUGGGGAGUGUUUCAUCUUACUUAAUGGGCUUAAUUAAUGGAAGAGUGUUUCAUGCGUCUUCAACACCUCCAAACUUUACUAAAAUACCUGUUUAGCCCCUAAUUAGAAUGUGGAUUAACUUUUGUUGAAAUAGUUAAGAAUAGUCAUGAAUUCUUUUUGAGUUUCAGAUUCUUUUUUCAGGUUUGUGUGUGUCAGAUGUCAUUUGCUCACAGCACCACUCACAUUUGCUUUCCUUUCUCUCUUCUCUCUCGCACAGCAGCUUGGUCUCCUUUCUCUCGCACAGCACCACCAUUUGCUGUCCUUUCACUCGCACAACACUCACGAACUCACAAAAGAUCUCAAGCUCUUUCUUCUCGCACAACAUCACGCAAACAGAGGCACGACUUCCUUUUCAUCUUCGUUGGUGCAUCCCACCCGUCUCCUUCCUCCAUUUUUGCUUUUCGUUUUCUUAAAUUUUUUUUCGUGUUUUCCAUGAUUGUUGAUUGAUAUGUACAUUGAAUGAUUAGAAGGUGAUUGAAGUGUUUGAUCUGUA